GUAAUUCAGUGUUUUUAUUCACCAUAUGUUCUUAUCAUUUAGUAGGGCAAGGGGAAGCACUAGGGAAUGUAAAACAUUUUAGAGGAGGAAAUAUACUAAUACAUAAGAACAGAGUAAAACAAUAACAGAUGCAGUAUGCAUCACAAUCACUGUCAAAUUACCAAAAACUAUGAAAAGAGUAAUUUCAAUCAAUACUACUCAAGUAUCUGCCUCUUCUGCAAGAUAUCCUACUAUUUUGGUCUUGGGAUUUCACCAUUCACCUGUGUAAUUAAACAAUGCUGUAAUUUAUUCUGUAGAGAACAGAAAUAGGAAAAAAAAAAAAUUUCCCGGUCAGAAUCUAUUUUUCUGACUCUAAAAAAAAAAUGUCUAUCUUUAAAACAUGAACUUUCUGAAAUAGGAAUACAUUUAACUAGCUGUCCCACAUGUAUUUAACCCAGUACUAAAGAUGCUAGAAUUUACACAUUGGGGAAAACAU
Long non-coding RNA from Perognathus longimembris pacificus (Pacific pocket mouse), 475 nucleotides. RefSeq lists it as uncharacterized. The record is from RefSeq and is a predicted model, not a curated record. The transcript is spliced from 2 exons. Lineage: Eukaryota; Metazoa; Chordata; Mammalia; Rodentia; Heteromyidae.